GACGAACGCUGGCGGCGUGCUUAACACAUGCAAGUCGAACGGAAAGGCCCUGCUUUUGUGGGGUGCUCGAGUGGCGAACGGGUGUGUAACACGUGAGUAACCUGCCCUUGACUUUGGGAUAACUUCAGGAAACUGGGGCUAAUACCGGAUAGGAGCUCCUGCUGCAUGGUGGGGGUUGGAAAGUUUCGGCGGUUGGGGAUGGACUCGCGGCUUAUCAGCUUGUUGGUGGGGUAGUGGCUUACCAAGGCUUUGACGGGUAGCCGGCCUGAGAGGGUGACCGGCCACAUUGGGACUGAGAUACGGCCCAGACUCCUACGGGAGGCAGCAGUGGGGAAUAUUGCAUAAUGGGCGGAAGCCUGAUGCAGCAACGCCGCGUGCGGGAUGACGGCCUUCGGGUUGUAAACCGCUUUCGCCUGUGACGAAGCGUGAGUGACGGUAAUGGGUAAAGAAGCACCGGCUAACUACGUG
RNAcentral lists this ribosomal RNA (468 nucleotides) under uncultured bacterium. RNAcentral's name for it is "partial 16S ribosomal RNA". It matches the Rfam family "Bacterial small subunit ribosomal RNA", at positions 28 to 507 of the family's 1533-position model. The record is from RNAcentral.